This 102-nucleotide transfer RNA is filed under the name Vibrio parahaemolyticus. RNAcentral's name for it is "tRNA-OTHER". It matches the Rfam family "tRNA". Rfam says of the family: Transfer RNA (tRNA) molecules are approximately 80 nucleotides in length. Their secondary structure includes four short double-helical elements and three loops (D, anti-codon, and T loops). Further hydrogen bonds mediate the characteristic L-shaped molecular structure. tRNAs have two regions of fundamental functional importance: the anti-codon, which is responsible for specific mRNA codon recognition, and the 3' end, to which the tRNAs corresponding amino acid is attached (by aminoacyl-tRNA synthetases). tRNAs cope with the degeneracy of the genetic code in two manners: having more than one tRNA (with a specific anti-codon) for a particular amino acid; and 'wobble' base-pairing, i.e. permitting non-standard base-pairing at the 3rd anti-codon position. Lineage: Bacteria; Pseudomonadati; Pseudomonadota; Gammaproteobacteria; Vibrionales; Vibrionaceae. The record is from RNAcentral. RNAcentral also lists the same sequence under 2 other names.
GGUUCAUUAGCAUAACGGUAGUGCAUCGACCUUCAAGAGAGUCUCCUAAAGGGGGCUCUCUUGAAGUCGAAAGUCCUAGUUCGACUCUAGGGUGAACCACCA